This is a non-coding RNA of Vicia faba (fava bean), 267 nucleotides long. The record is from the annotation of a GenBank genome assembly. Lineage: Eukaryota; Viridiplantae; Streptophyta; Magnoliopsida; Fabales; Fabaceae.
AUGGCUGCGACGGUUGUAGAUCUGUCUCUGCUUCAUCUUUGCAGCAAUUCUAAAUCUGCCUCCGCUUCAUCUUCACGACGAUACAUAUUGGAGCAAAGUCUCUCAGUGGAUAAUUUCUUUAUUUUUGUUCUAAUAUUCAAAUACUUCAAAGUUCCAACAUUGUAUCAGGCAUACACUAUUGUUAAAUUUGCAGAUGCAUGUCUUCCGACAUUGAAAGGAGAGGUCGGAAUCAUUCAUGUGCAUAUGUUGAUUCACAGUUAUAGGUGA